This 492-nucleotide ribosomal RNA is filed under the name uncultured bacterium. RNAcentral describes it as "partial 16S ribosomal RNA". It matches the Rfam family "Bacterial small subunit ribosomal RNA", at positions 29 to 507 of the family's 1533-position model. The record is from RNAcentral.
AGUGAACGCUGGCGGUAGGCCUAACACAUGCCAGUCGAACGGCAGCACAGUAAGAGCUUGCUCUUACGGGUGGCGAGUGGCGGACGGGUGAGGAAUACAUCGGAAUCUACUUUUUCGUGGGGGAUAACGUAGGGAAACUUACGCUAAUACCGCAUACGACCUACGGGUGAAAGCAGGGGAUCUUCGGACCUUGCGCGAUUGAAUGAGCCGCUGUCGGAUUAGCUAGUUGGCGGGGUAAAGGCCCACCAAGGCGACGAUCCGUAGCUGGUCUGAGAGGAUGAUCAGCCACACUGGAACUGAAACACGGUCCAGACUCCUACGGGAGGCAGCAGUGGGGAAUAUUGGACAAUGGGCGCAAGCCUGAUCCAGCCAUACCGCGUGGGUGAAGAAGGCCUUCGGGUUGUAAAGCCCUUUUGUUGGGAAAGAAAAGCAGCAGGUUAAUACCCCGCUGUUCUGACGGUACCCAAAGAAUAAGCACCGGCUAACUUCGUG